RNAcentral lists this microRNA (22 nucleotides) under Sus scrofa (pig). Its description in RNAcentral is "ssc-mir257". The record is from RNAcentral. Lineage: Eukaryota; Metazoa; Chordata; Mammalia; Artiodactyla; Suidae.
UCGCUGCUCACCACCCAUGAGA